GGACUAGUAGCUCAGUGUGAGAGCCGCCCUCGGUUGAAGGGUCGGGACGCGAGGUUAAAAUCCUCGCCUAGUUCA
Molecule: transfer RNA, 75 nt
Filed under: Marisediminitalea aggregata
Lineage: Bacteria; Pseudomonadati; Pseudomonadota; Gammaproteobacteria; Alteromonadales; Alteromonadaceae
Also listed under: 1 other name
Source: RNAcentral